This 725-nucleotide ribosomal RNA is filed under the name bacterium IMCC11062. RNAcentral describes it as "bacterial SSU rRNA". It matches the Rfam family "Bacterial small subunit ribosomal RNA", at positions 28 to 749 of the family's 1533-position model. The record is from RNAcentral.
AGUGUACGCUGUCGGCACACCCACACAUAUAAGAGUAGCGGUAUCACAGAGUUGCUUGCUACUAUGGUGUCGAGCGGCGGACGGGUGAGUAAUGCUUGGGAACAUGCCUUGAGGUGGGGGACAACAGUUGGAAACGACUGCUAAUACCGCAUAAUGUCUACGGACCAAAGGGGGCUUCGGCUCUCGCCUUUAGAUUGGCCCAAGUGGGAUUAGCUAGUUGGUGAGGUAAUGGCUCACCAAGGCGACGAUCCCUAGCUGGUUUGAGAGGAUGAUCAGCCACACUGGGACUGAGACACGGCCCAGACUCCUACGGGAGGCAGCAGUGGGGAAUAUUGCACAAUGGGCGCAAGCCUGAUGCAGCCAUGCCGCGUGUGUGAAGAAGGCCUUCGGGUUGUAAAGCACUUUCAGUCAGGAGGAAAGGUUAGUAGUUAAUACCUGCUAGCUGUGACGUUACUGACAGAAGAAGCACCGGCUAACUCCGUGCCAGCAGCCGCGGUAAUACGGAGGGUGCGAGCGUUAAUCGGAAUUACUGGGCGUAAAGCGUACGCAGGCGGUUUGUUAAGCGAGAUGUGAAAGCCCCGGGCUCAACCUGGGAACUGCAUUUCGAACUGGCAAACUAGAGUGUGAUAGAGGGUGGUAGAAUUUCAGGUGUAGCGGUGAAAUGCGUAGAGAUCUGAAGGAAUACCGAUGGCGAAGGCAGCCACCUGGGUCAACACUGACGCUCA